AUACCAGCCUGAGGUGACGCCAAGUCAAGGACAGGGUGUAAUACCAGGACACUUUAACCCUGUGAGGGUCCCUCCUAGUCUCGACUCUAAUGGUGGCAACUGAUCAGUAAAUAAGAGUCGGACACCUGCACAGGAUGGCCAGAUUAGGUCAGGUGAUGGGCAUUAACUAAUGGUGGGCAUGGAUGUUAGGUAAUGGUGGGUAUGGACAUUAGCUAAUGGUGGGCAUGGUCAAUAUCUAAUGGUGGGCAUGGAUAUUAGGUAAUGGUGGGCAUGGUCACUAGGUAAUGGUUGGCGUGGACAUUAGGUAAUGGUGGGCAUAGAUAUUAGGUGAUGCUGGGAAAGGUCAUUAGGUAAUGGUGGGCAUGGAUGUUUGGUAAUGGUGGGCAAGAUCAUUAAGUAAUAGUGGGCAUGAACAUUAGGUGAUGGUGGGCAUGGAUAUUGGAUAAUGGUGGGCAUGGUCCAGAAGGAGCAGAGUAUUUGGCACAGAUAAUAUGUACUGUAGUAUACACUUGCUAGUUGAAAUGCUUGUGCCAUGCUGGCAUCUCUUUGCCACGAUGCCACGUGACGAUAUUUGCC
Molecule: long non-coding RNA, 576 nt
Organism: Erpetoichthys calabaricus (reedfish)
Lineage: Eukaryota; Metazoa; Chordata; Cladistia; Polypteriformes; Polypteridae
Exons: 7
Source: RefSeq, a predicted model, not a curated record